GGUUACAGUACCAAAUGAACCACUGCUGCAACUUACCUACAAGCCAGAAGAUUCUCUUUCCGAGGAUCAAAACUUACCCACUGAUCAGCCGGAGGCUUCUCCUUCAGAUGAUCUUUCUAUUACUCCUGUUGAAACGGCUCCACCACCACCUCCAGCACCAGCUCCUGCUCCUGAAAGCCAUGCAGAGACUGGAGAUUUAUUGGGAUUGAGUCUUGCUACCACUGAAGUAUCUGAAAUUGAGGAGAGAAAUGCUUUGGCUUUAGCUAUAGUUCCUUCUGGUGAUACAGCAACACCCACUUUUCAUUCCAAUGGUGCACAUACAAAUGAUUUCGAUCCUACUGGUUGGGAGCUUGCCUUGGUC
RNAcentral lists this unclassified non-coding RNA (361 nucleotides) under Hevea brasiliensis (rubber tree). The record is from RNAcentral. Lineage: Eukaryota; Viridiplantae; Streptophyta; Magnoliopsida; Malpighiales; Euphorbiaceae.